UAGCUCAAGUAGUAGAGCGCAUGCUUAACAUGCAUGAGGUCCUGGGUUCCAUCCCCAG
Molecule: transfer RNA, 58 nt
Filed under: Camelus bactrianus (Bactrian camel)
Lineage: Eukaryota; Metazoa; Chordata; Mammalia; Artiodactyla; Camelidae
Also listed under: 1 other name
Rfam family: tRNA
About the family: Transfer RNA (tRNA) molecules are approximately 80 nucleotides in length.
Source: Rfam by way of RNAcentral